Molecule: ribosomal RNA, 459 nt
Filed under: uncultured bacterium
Lineage: Bacteria
Description: partial 16S ribosomal RNA
Rfam family: Bacterial small subunit ribosomal RNA
Source: RNAcentral
CCUACGGGAGGCAGCAGUGAGGAAUAUUGGUCAAUGGGCGGGAGCCUGAACCAGCCAAGCCGCGUGAGGGAAGAAGGUACAGCGUAUCGUAAACCUCUUUUGUCAGGGAACAAAGGCGGGGACUAGUCCCCGGAUGAGGGUACCUGAAGAAAAAGCAUCGGCUAACUCCGUGCCAGCAGCCGCGGUAAUACGGGGGAUGCGAGCGUUAUCCGGAUUGAUUGGGUUUAAAGGGUGCGCAGGCGGCCUGUUAAGUCAGCGGUAAAAGCCCGGGGCUCAACCCCGGCGAGCCGUUGAAACUGGCGGGCUGGAGUUGGAGAGAAGUACGCGGAAUGCGCGGGGUAGCGGUGAAAUGCUUAGAUAUCGCGCAGAACCCCGAUUGCGAAGGCAGCGUACCGGCGCCACACUGACGCUGAGGCACGAAAGCGUGGGUAUCGAACAGGAUUAGAUACCCGAGUAGUC